Molecule: RNase P RNA, 351 nt
Filed under: Methanomethylovorans hollandica DSM 15978
Lineage: Archaea; Methanobacteriati; Methanobacteriota; Methanomicrobia; Methanosarcinales; Methanosarcinaceae
Description: Archaeal RNase P
Rfam family: Archaeal RNase P
About the family: Ribonuclease P (RNase P) is a ubiquitous endoribonuclease, found in archaea, bacteria and eukarya as well as chloroplasts and mitochondria. Its best characterised activity is the generation of mature 5'-ends of tRNAs by cleaving the 5'-leader elements of precursor-tRNAs. Cellular RNase Ps are ribonucleoproteins.
Source: Rfam by way of RNAcentral
GAGAGAGGAAGGGCGGCCUCCGGGUCUAUGAUCUGAGGAAAGUCUCCCCACCGUCUGAACACACGAACACCUGUGAAGGGUGUCUGGCGAGAGCCAGGGCUCUGGCACAGAAACGAUACCAAGCCAUGCCAAUGCAAUGAUACCGUAAGGUUGAGGUCGUAUGGAAUGUGGAUGGAACGGCGAAUCCUCGUGGGUGCAAGUCAGAAGUAGGGAUAAGCGGUGUUCAGAACGCCCCCGAAGUUAACGACGCUUAGCCGAAUGCCGCAGCUGCAAAUGCCACAGGCUGUCUUUUUAGUGCCAUGCACUUAAGGGAUCUUUGCAGUAACAGAAGGGAGCUUACUCUCCUCACUC